UGCGCCAUGAGAGCCAAGUGGAGGAAGA
This 28-nucleotide non-coding RNA is filed under the name Homo sapiens (human). The record is from RNAcentral. Lineage: Eukaryota; Metazoa; Chordata; Mammalia; Primates; Hominidae.